AAUUUUUAAGUGUGUUUAAAGCCGAUAUUUUCGAAUAAUUCGAUUUUUCACAACAUUUAAGGAGUAUCCUGCAGUGGCGAUACCAAAAUUGGUUUAUAAAAUGUGAAACUAUAUCGAAAAUUCCAAUUAUAGACAAGAGUAUUAGUUUAAAUAAAUUUCGGUGUAAACAUUUUUGAUUUCAGUCCACCCGCCCUGUAUGUAUAUGAUGUCAAACAUCGUCAUU
Molecule: non-coding RNA, 223 nt
Organism: Cinara cedri
Lineage: Eukaryota; Metazoa; Arthropoda; Insecta; Hemiptera; Aphididae
Source: the annotation of a GenBank genome assembly